This 637-nucleotide ribosomal RNA is filed under the name uncultured bacterium. RNAcentral describes it as "bacterial SSU rRNA". It matches the Rfam family "Bacterial small subunit ribosomal RNA", at positions 202 to 839 of the family's 1533-position model. The record is from RNAcentral.
UAAAGAUCCGUCGGAUGAGGAUAGGCUCGCGUGACACUAGCUUGACGGCGGGGUAACGGCCCACCGUGGCGACGAUGUCUAGGGGUUCUGAGAGGAAGGUCCCCCACACUGGAACUGAGACACGGUCCAGACUCCUACGGGAGGCAGCAGUGAGGAAUAUUGGUCAAUGGCCGGAAGGCUGAACCAGCCAUGCCGCGUGAAGGUCAGUGCCCUAUGGGCGUUAAACUUCUUUUGUGCGGGAGCAAUAAGGUCCACGUGUGGACCGACGAGAGCACCGUACGAAUAAGCAUCGGCUAACUCCGUGCCAGCAGCCGCGGUAAUACGGGGGAUGCAAGCGUUAUCCGGAUUUAUUGGGUUUAAAGGGUGCGUAGGCUGUGAGGUAAGUCAGCGGUGAAAUGCCCCCGCUCAACGGGGUGAAGUGCCAUUGAUACUGCCUUGCUGGAAUGCGGAUGCCGUGGGAGGAAUGUGUGGUGUAGCGGUGAAAUGCAUAGAUAUCACACAGAACACCGAUUGCGAAGGCAUCUCACGAAUCCGCUAUUGACGCUGAUGCGCGAAAGCGUGGGUAUCAAACAGGAUUAGAUACCCUGGUAGUCCACGCUGUAAACGAUGAUGACUAACCGUCGGCGAUACACAGUCG